GCUUUCCACAUGCAUUAUUUGUGCUGACCAUUCAAAGCUUCAGCCUACAGGAAGAUAUAAAUGCUUCAGCAAAUGAGAGGGUCGUAAGGAAGUAGAAUGUGGAGCCAUAUAUGGUGGUGGCUGAAUAUCCUCAUUCUCUGGAGGUCAGCUCCCACAGAUUAAAAUGAAUUCAAAAUCAACUCAAGUUUUAUGAAGAUGUAGAGAGAUGAUGAAUGGACAGCAACUGUUUGAACAACUUACUUCACCUUUCAAAGAAAUGCCUGUGUCACAUACACCCUGGCAGGAUGUAAGAUGGUUACAGGAUUUGAAUGGGAUGUUACUAAGAUGAUGGAUAAUAAUACCUUGUUGUUUUGUGCAAUGGCUUUGAUCCAUCAUCAGUAACCCCCCAUGCAAUGAACUGCACAUGUAAUUGCUGGUGGAAGAGCCUGGCUCCAAAGAGCAGUGCAGUGGUGUUGACCAGGAUAACGAGUAGUUCUGACAACCAUCUGUUUACUCCUUGGUUGUUUUGAAAUCAUGCC
This is a long non-coding RNA of Gallus gallus (chicken), 518 nucleotides long. The record is from Ensembl. Lineage: Eukaryota; Metazoa; Chordata; Aves; Galliformes; Phasianidae.